AGUAACGACUCUCAGCAACGGAUAUCUUGGCUCUUGCAACGAUGAAGAACGAAGCGAAAUGCGAUACCUAGUGUGAAUUGCAGAAUUCCGAGAAUCAUUGAGUCUUUGAACGAAAGUUGCGCCCGAGGCUUGUCCCGAGGGCAUGCCUGCCUGAAGCGUCACC
Molecule: ribosomal RNA, 163 nt
Filed under: Plagiochila tocarema
Lineage: Eukaryota; Viridiplantae; Streptophyta; Jungermanniopsida; Jungermanniales; Plagiochilaceae
Description: 5.8S ribosomal RNA
Rfam family: 5.8S ribosomal RNA
About the family: 5.8S ribosomal RNA (5.8S rRNA) is a component of the large subunit of the eukaryotic ribosome. It is transcribed by RNA polymerase I as part of the 45S precursor that also contains 18S and 28S rRNA.
Source: RNAcentral